UCUUUUUCGUCUUUAUUUCAUAACAUGUUAUAAUGUAGGAUUGACUGUUUUAUUUCAGAUCAGCCUUCAACACCAACAACCCAAACGUCCUCCACCAGAAGCUCACCCAGUUCACAGUGCCUGUCAGUGGAUCACCAGCUUCCUGACUGACCAGCAGCAACAGAUGACAACACUGUUACUGGUCCUCUCCAGGACAGUGAUGGUUAACUGGUGCCGUCAGAACCACCCAGAGCUUAACCCACUAAAGACCGUGGAGAUGACGGUGGACUUCCUCCCCUCACCAUUCUCAACACUACUACUGUUGAUCGUUUCCACUGCAUAGGAACCACCCUUUCUUGGGAGUUGAGCCCUCAAACUUAGACACUCUUUUCUAUGUGAAUAGACAACUCAAGAUAUACAACCUUCCCCAGGAGCUAAUGGUCAUCUUCUACACUCCCAUUGUUCAGUCUGUCCUGUGUUCGUCCUUCACUGUGUGGCUCAUCCUAACUGCAACAAACAUCAGGUCUGUGGAGAGGAUCACAAAGGCUCACAUUCCCUCCAUCCAGGACUAAGGGUCUAGGGUCAGGACAAGGGCAGCUAACAUCUUUGCAGACCCUACACAUCCUGGACACAAAGUAACAUUUUACUUCGGGUUUGUGCUCCCAAGCCCUUUUUGCUAACCCCCCCCCCCCAAGAAAAACAGCCGCCACAGAGACAGUUUCUCUGAUAAACAGUAAACGGUAAAAACAUUCCAAACACUAAAACUUAAAUAUCUUAGAAUAUGAAACAUUUUCAACCAAAACCUUACAUUAUGAACAGAACUUUGCACUUUCUCUAAAAACAAACACUGACAUAUUGAGAAAGUUCUGGACAAUUUGUUCCAUACAUCCGUAACAGUGGCGGGUGUGAACACAACAUGAGUGGUAAGCUGCUAACAACGCUGAAGUUAGCUUCACUUUAGAGCUAAAUUUUGGGUUGAUAAUAAUGUCUUUACAUUUUAUGUAGAAUGGUAGACAAUACAAACAAUUUGGGAGUAUUUUAAAAGUACCGUACCUGGCUAACUGUUAGCUGCUAGCAAUGCUGAAGUUACUGUUUUAGAUUCCUAUUGGAGCUACACUAAAGGGCUAUUUCUCAGUGUUUGAUUGCAUCUGGAGAGUACAUUUAUCAUCUUUAGGUUAUAAUGCCAAAAGAAGAAAAAAAAAAUCUAAACUGGAUAAUUCUACACUUAUAGGUUCAGUAAAAUACAACUUGUAGACCUAAUUAGUAAAAUUAAUGAAAAAAGGGGGAUUCUUUUUCUUUUUUUCCAAAAAUAUUGCUAAAAUCUUGUUUUAUCCUCAUGGACCCUACAUUGUGUAUUGUAUUAUAUCAUGAACAGGAUGUAUUGUUACACUCGUAGGGCUAACUGUUAUUUUCUUGUAAUUAACUUAUACAAGCUUGAAUUUAAGUAAUUUGUUUUCUGUUUCAUAACUGCAAAAUAAUCACAUCUGAAUCAAAAACUAACUUACAUUCUUAGACUAUGUCACAUAAAGAACAAAACAUAACACAGUCCUUUGCAUGGGAAAAAUAACUAAGACAGGUUUAGCCUGUUGAACAUCUUACCAACCUCCCAUGACCUCUUUAGACUUUAAUAAAUCAGUAAGGCUCUACCAGAACACCAGACAGCUGAUAUGCAAGCUGAAUAUUCUGUCUCCCUGUCUGCCUGGGCAUAUAGAAUAUUUUAUCUUGCACUGGUAAAACAAUGGGAAAUGUGUGAAUAUCAAAUUAUUAGGCUAAUAUAAAAAACUAAUUUGCUGACACACUUCUUAAAUUUAAAACUAGAUAUGCUCUGUAAUUUGUAAAAAAAAAAAUAAAAAUAAAAAAUAGUCCAUCUGUACUGUAAUGUCUCCUAUCAAGGUUACUCUGAAGAGAGCAAACCUGACUAGUGCGAAGGAUGCGCAUCUGCACCGUCUAUGGUGGAUCUGCAGGGGCACCUUAAAGGCUUAAGCCCAUUUCUGUCAGCAUUGUAAUGCCUGGGGAGCUGAAGCAAAGCAGAGAGUGAGGCGAGCUGAGAAUGUUUAUCUUGAUCCAUAUUCUCACAUUGAUCAAUCCCUGGUGGAAGUGCGGCUCACCAGAGACAAUAAUGACCCUGAUCCGGGCACUCGGCAUGUCUCUGUUUUGUUAAGUUCCCCGCGUUAUCGAUCCAGUGGGGCUCUUGAGUGCUGCUUGGAUUCACUCCCAGGCCAUCUCUCCUCGGCACACAGCAGUGACCAGGCACAAAGAAGGCUCAAUUAGCACCGGCUCUGCGUUGUCUGCUCCCCCACCUUCAAAAUCACUCCAUCAACUGGUAGAAAGGGAGGAAGGAAAAGGGGGGCCGGUGGGAGGAGGGGUGGGGUGUGAAAAGACGGGAUAGGAAAGCUAGAGAAAGAGAGAGAAAUUGAACGCUUGAGGAGAAGGGAAGCGCUGACCGUGUUACCUGGGACAAGGGAGCAAUGCCAAGGUUUUACGUCAAAUCAAGACUCCGAAGCGGCGGCUGCGCCUUAUGUUAAUGACGCCUCCUCUGCAGGAAAGCAUACAGAACAACCCGGCAGCAACGACACACAAGAGGAACACAAGUGACAAUUUCCUGCACAGGCUGUAAAUGCACACAAGGAAAAGUGGCAAACUGACUCCAGGAGACGGAGGAAUUUCACUAGACCUCGAAUUAACCCCACCACAUCGCCACAGUAGGCAGGGUAUCCUAAAGUGUCUGCCGGUAGCUCUGGGUGAUAACAGCACAGUAAAACUGACAUGUGGUGGAAUAAUUCUCCGCUGAUUCUGGUGAGGCAGUGUGAGGUCUCUGGGCUGCCAAGACGCCCUGUGAUCCUAACCGAACCUGGCAUGUGCCGUUAAUGUUGCAGACAUGUUGUCAGCUGAUUUGGGCAAGGUGGCGGAGAGACAUUAUUGGCUCGUACGGGAGGGUGAAUCAUAAGCAAAGUCAAAAAAAAAAA
Molecule: long non-coding RNA, 2945 nt
Organism: Poecilia latipinna (sailfin molly)
Lineage: Eukaryota; Metazoa; Chordata; Actinopteri; Cyprinodontiformes; Poeciliidae
Exons: 2
Source: RefSeq, a predicted model, not a curated record